CUACCUAACAAAAAAAAAUGGUACUGCUGUUAGUGGUGGGGGGCUCCAUUCUUUCAGCAGCGUGCAAAAAUCAUUCCAAGCAUUGAUACCACUGCACUUCCUCCUUCAAUUAAAAUUUCUCCUCCUUAAUUCCAUCCAACCGCACCGCUUCUAGCUCCUUCACCAAUUCCAAUUCAAUCUGCCUCUGCUCCACUUCCGUGCACACCACUGCCAACCAGCUUGCUCCUGCGCUCCAUGUGCUUCUACUCAUUCCACACACACCAUUUCAUUUUCUUUUAGCUCCACGUUCCAGGGCAGCCUCCCAUUCCAUCACCGUUGCAUUCUCUUCGAGCGUAACAGCACAUUCCAGCACCGUUUUUCUUCCAGCCAGCAUGGCACCUUAGGAGUGAAAGACUUGCUGCAAAUCUGGAAGAGGAAACGUGGAGAGUUGUUGAAGUUUGAAGGAGAUCAAAUCUUUUGGAGAAAGGUCCAAGGAAGUCUUCAAGAGAUGUUGUCGAGGAGAGUCCUUGGGAGCAAGAGCUGGAGAAUACUGAGGCUGCGGAGUAGUCUUCUUAGAAUUUCCUAUCUGAACACGUGUAGUGUUCGAAUUUAUGAACUGUUUAAGUUUGAAUUUCAGUUUCUUUUAUUUGGAUGAUUGUAAUUUAACAAUUAAAUUACACGUCGUAUUCUGACUGUUCUCUAUAUUUGAAUGUUAACGUCCUUAUUAUAUAAUAUUGACUAUUAUAUAAUCGGGAUGUUACAAUAUCAUACCUUGCACCUUUGAAGAAAAUGAAGAGAGGCCAGUUUGAGUUGUUGUUUGGUUCAUUGGAACUACCAUUCUCUUCCAUUAAUGAAUUUUGAUGAACUCACAGCAGAAGUGAAAAAACUAUGCAGAAGAAGUGUUUGAAGAAAUUGAUCUCAGAGGGAGAAAAUCCUCAACGACAAGAAUCU
Molecule: small RNA, 930 nt
Filed under: Vigna angularis var. angularis
Lineage: Eukaryota; Viridiplantae; Streptophyta; Magnoliopsida; Fabales; Fabaceae
Description: Non-protein coding transcript
Source: RNAcentral